GGUAUAAUGUACCUGGCCCGCCGCCCACAAGGUGGUGAGUGCCGGAGCACGUUUACCAUCCUUCUAGAAAACGAUUUUGCCGUUCACUCGGUGGGGUCGCGAUCUAGAUCCUUUACUUUGAAAAAAUUAGAGUGUUUAAAGCAGGCUUUUGCUAUGAAUACAUUAGCAUGGAAUAAUAAUCUAGGACUUCGGUUCUAUUUUGUUGGUUUCUAUAACUGAAGUA
RNAcentral lists this ribosomal RNA (223 nucleotides) under uncultured fungus. RNAcentral describes it as "partial small subunit ribosomal RNA". The stretch from base 97 to 223 matches the Rfam family "Eukaryotic small subunit ribosomal RNA", at positions 736 to 864 of the family's 1831-position model. The record is from RNAcentral. Lineage: Eukaryota; Fungi.